This is a long non-coding RNA of Arachis ipaensis, 532 nucleotides long. RefSeq lists it as uncharacterized. NCBI's taxonomy places the organism in Eukaryota, Viridiplantae, Streptophyta, Magnoliopsida, Fabales, Fabaceae. The record is from RefSeq and is a predicted model, not a curated record.
GGGAUAUAAUGAUAUAUAGCCACGCAAAAAAAGAAAAAAGAAAAUAUAAGUGACAAGGUAUACCCACCAUAAUCACAACAUGAAGGCCAUUUUUAUUGCAUUCUUACUUCUGGCUUCCAUGGCCUUCUUGCUCUCUUCAGCUACCCUAGCAACUCGAGAGAUUCAACCAAUCAAAGGUGAUGAGAAAGGAUACAUAAAAGCAAGUGAUCCAUAUAGAUUUAGAAGAAGAAUUAGAGGAGGAGGACGACGACCUCCACCUCCUCCUAGUGCUGUUGGAAGUGAUUUAUAUAGAAGAAGAAGAUGAGGAGGAGGAGGAGGAGGAGGAGGAGUUCCACCUCCACCUCCACCUCCACGUUCUAGUGCUGUUAAUUAAUAAUUAAAUUAAUCAAAGGUUGCAUAACCUCCUUCUUCUACUUUAUUAUGUGUUACUACAGCUAGUAGUAAUAAAAAUGUAUCAUCACAUGUUAGUUUUCACUUUGUAAUGGUGUUUGUCAAAUAAAUUAAAGCAUAUAUAUGAGCUUUCAUUUUCAGG